Long non-coding RNA from Helianthus annuus (common sunflower), 1119 nucleotides. RefSeq lists it as uncharacterized. The record is from RefSeq and is a predicted model, not a curated record. NCBI's taxonomy places the organism in Eukaryota, Viridiplantae, Streptophyta, Magnoliopsida, Asterales, Asteraceae. The transcript has 2 exons.
ACCUUCCGGAUUUUAUGGCAUUUAGAAGGUUUUUAAAGGAAAUUAUAUCAAUCAAAUAUGGAAGGGGUUGUGUAUGAAAGGAUACCGACAAUCGUCCAAUUCACAAAACGUUAGUUUCGAGCCUGUAAAAGACAACCCACCGAAACCGAAUGAACAUGAACUCCUCUUCUCUCCCUUCUAUUGCUCGCUGCUGAUUUACUGACACUAGUUCGGCUACCCUAAACUCAACAGAAAACAUCACCAUAUGUUGCCACUCACAAUCACACAACCGCAAAUAACUGCCACUCGCCAACAUCUUCUUCGGUGUCUAAGUUUGGAAACUAUGUGGCCAAUAUUUAUGUUCAUGACCACCCUCAAUCGGAGUGCAGCCACCGCGCUACUCCGCCGUGACCACUACCUCACUAUUCAGGUUCGCUCACCGCCGUUCGGGUCACUACCGCCUCUAUCAGUUUCAUCCUUGGGUUCACGAUUCCAGCCACCCCCGGACUGCUAUGAUUCACCAGCGCCGCCCUUGAUCUAUUCCGUUCUUUCGACUGUUUGAGGUAACCUGGGAUAAUAUGGGAUUUCAAUGAGGAGCGUUAGGGGGUUGCUGACCAAGAUUCUUUAUUUCAGUAAUGUAAUAAAUGUAAUUAGGAUCUUUUAUUUAAUGCCAUGGAUUGGUUCUUAGUUUUGAUAUUUGUAAGAGUGACACGUCAGCCCUAGCAUGGUUGGGGUGUUACACGAUGAGUCCCCAUAUAACACAAGCAUCAAAUGUGACCUUGAACUUGGUGCAUGUCCAUGGACUCUCAGGAUGAAGCCCAUCGAUAUCGCAUAAGUUUUCGAUAUUCUCCAACAUCCACCAUGAGACCGCAAGAUUUGCCAUUCCAGAAACCAGAGUUCCCACCAGCUGACAGUAUACCCAAGUACAUCAGACAACUGUUAGAAAUCUAGAACAGAAUUCGAAGAACAUUACAGUUAUAUGAUAUGCAGAGAUCGAAGGAAGGAACCGUUUAUUGAAUAAAGAAAAAUAAUAUACAACCAAAAGUGUAUAAUCUGAUUACAUAUAUGUGUAUAUAUAGUCUUAAACUUAACCGCCAGGACUACCAUUUGUCAUGGCAGUUAUACCAUUCGAUUGACCCA